Molecule: ribosomal RNA, 282 nt
Filed under: Triticum aestivum (bread wheat)
Lineage: Eukaryota; Viridiplantae; Streptophyta; Magnoliopsida; Poales; Poaceae
Description: partial small subunit ribosomal RNA
Source: RNAcentral
GGAUGCAAUCGUCUUGUUAUUAACUCUGAUAAUAUGGAAGUGAUCGAGAGAAUGAAGAAUGGAGGACGGUCUGCAGGAGCGGCGACGGCAGUGUUUGACGAUUGCUAUUUUUUGGCUUGUGACUUUCCUAUCACUAGUUAACAUUGUAAUAGGGAAGCGAACAUGUUUGCUCAUGAAAUUGCUAGGCUAGCAAAAUUUGCUGCAACAAAUUCUUGGUUUGAGGAGCUGAUGGAUGAUAUUGUAACACCUUUAAUAGACGAUGUAACUAUUAUUACCAAUUAA